This is a ribosomal RNA of 1503 nucleotides. It matches the Rfam family "Bacterial small subunit ribosomal RNA".
AGAGUUUGAUCCUGGCUCAGGAUGAACGCUGGCGGCGUGCUUAACACAUGCAAGUCGAACGGUGAAGCCCAGCUUGCUGGGUGGAUCAGUGGCGAACGGGUGAGUAACACGUGAGCAACCUGCCCCUGACUCUGGGAUAAGCGCUGGAAACGGCGUCUAAUACUGGAUACGAGCCGGAACCGCAUGGUUACUGGUUGGAAAGAUUUUUCGGUUGGGGAUGGGCUCGCGGCCUAUCAGCUUGUUGGUGAGGUAAUGGCUCACCAAGGCGUCGACGGGUAGCCGGCCUGAGAGGGUGACCGGCCACACUGGGACUGAGACACGGCCCAGACUCCUACGGGAGGCAGCAGUGGGGAAUAUUGCACAAUGGGCGGAAGCCUGAUGCAGCAACGCCGCGUGAGGGAUGACGGCCUUCGGGUUGUAAACCUCUUUUAGCAGGGAAGAAGCGAAAGUGACGGUACCUGCAGAAAAAGCGCCGGCUAACUACGUGCCAGCAGCCGCGGUAAUACGUAGGGCGCAAGCGUUAUCCGGAAUUAUUGGGCGUAAAGAGCUCGUAGGCGGUUUGUCGCGUCUGCUGUGAAAUCUGGGGGCUCAACCCCCAGCCUGCAGUGGGUACGGGCAGACUAGAGUGCGGUAGGGGAGAUUGGAAUUCCUGGUGUAGCGGUGGAAUGCGCAGAUAUCAGGAGGAACACCGAUGGCGAAGGCAGAUCUCUGGGCCGUAACUGACGCUGAGGAGCGAAAGGGUGGGGAGCAAACAGGCUUAGAUACCCUGGUAGUCCACCCCGUAAACGUUGGGAACUAGUUGUGGGGUCCAUUCCACGGAUUCCGUGACGCAGCUAACGCAUUAAGUUCCCCGCCUGGGGAGUACGGCCGCAAGGCUAAAACUCAAAGGAAUUGACGGGGACCCGCACAAGCGGCGGAGCAUGCGGAUUAAUUCGAUGCAACGCGAAGAACCUUACCAAGGCUUGACAUAUACGAGAACGGGCCAGAAAUGGUCAACUCUUUGGACACUCGUAAACAGGUGGUGCAUGGUUGUCGUCAGCUCGUGUCGUGAGAUGUUGGGUUAAGUCCCGCAACGAGCGCAACCCUCGUUCUAUGUUGCCAGCACGUAAUGGUGGGAACUCAUGGGAUACUGCCGGGGUCAACUCGGAGGAAGGUGGGGAUGACGUCAAAUCAUCAUGCCCCUUAUGUCUUGGGCUUCACGCAUGCUACAAUGGCCGGUACAAAGGGCUGCAAUACCGCGAGGUGGAGCGAAUCCCAAAAAGCCGGUCCCAGUUCGGAUUGAGGUCUGCAACUCGACCUCAUGAAGUCGGAGUCGCUAGUAAUCGCAGAUCAGCAACGCUGCGGUGAAUACGUUCCCGGGUCUUGUACACACCGCCCGUCAAGUCAUGAAAGUCGGUAACACCUGAAGCCGGUGGCCUAACCCUUGUGGAGGGAGCCGUCGAAGGUGGGAUCGGUAAUUAGGACUAAGUCGUAACAAGGUAGCCGUACCGGAAGGUGCGGCUG